GUCAUUUCCUUCAUAAACAAGUCCUACUUCCUCUCGAGGGUCCAUAUCAGCUGAGCUUAUCCUGUGAGUGCCCCAGUGGGAAUUGAGUUCAUUUCAGAGUGUCCUUCCCUCCCACACGGAGUGUGGGAGUGGUGAGGUCUGGGAGAUCACGACCUUAAUUCUCUCCAAGACAGACGGUUUAAUUAACACUGGAGGAAUCCUCACUGGCUCCAGACCUCUACAAUGGGAAUGUGCACGGGAAUUGGAUUGCCAAGACCCCAACAUGAGGACUAAGAAGUAAAUGUUUAAAUACAAGGUGGACAUAUACUGUAUAUACUGGACUGGAAGAUAUAGCACUAUUCGAAGCAACUGACAGAAGG
RNAcentral lists this long non-coding RNA (359 nucleotides) under Cottoperca gobio. RNAcentral describes it as "lncRNA (ENSCGOG00000018190.1)". The record is from RNAcentral. Lineage: Eukaryota; Metazoa; Chordata; Actinopteri; Perciformes; Bovichtidae.